This 581-nucleotide ribosomal RNA is filed under the name Trichosporon asahii. Its description in RNAcentral is "eukaryotic LSU rRNA". It matches the Rfam family "Eukaryotic large subunit ribosomal RNA", at positions 54 to 609 of the family's 3401-position model. The record is from RNAcentral. Lineage: Eukaryota; Fungi; Basidiomycota; Tremellomycetes; Trichosporonales; Trichosporonaceae.
AGGAAAAGAAACUAACAAGGAUUCCCCUAGUAACGGCGAGUGAAGCGGGAAGAGCUCAAAUUUGAAAUCUGGCAGUCUUCGAUUGUCCGAGUUGUAAUCUAUAGAGGCGUUUUCCGUGCCGGACCGUGUCCAAGUCUCCUGGAAAGGAGUAUCAAAGAGGGUGAUAAUCCCGUACUUAACACGACCACCGGUGCUCUGUGAUACGUCUUCUACGAGUCGAGUUGUUUGGGAAUGCAGCUCAAAAUGGGUGGUGAAUUCCAUCUAAAGCUAAAUAUUGGCGAGAGACCGAUAGCGAACAAGUACCGUGAGGGAAAGAUGAAAAGCACUUUGGAAAGAGAGUUAAACAGUACGUGAAAUUGUUGAAAGGGAAACGAUUGAAGUCAGUCGUGUUCUUUGGAUUCAGCCAGUUCUGCUGGUCUACUUCCUUGGAACGGGUCAACAUCAGUUUUGUCCGGUGGAUAAAGGUAGUAGGAAUGUGACUUCUCCGGAAGUGUUAUAGCCUAUUAUUCACAUACACUGGGUGAGACUGAGGACUGCAGCUCGCCUUUAUGGCCGGCCUUCGGAACGCUCGAGCUAGAUUA